GAGGAGGCGAGUGAUGUGGAGGUGGCGGUGGGGAUGCUGAUGAUGAGAGGCUGCGGCGGUGAAGGAGAGCCUCUGCGAGGGACUCGAGCGAAGAUCCGGCGUGGAAGUGCAUGCAUGGGAUUAGCGCCAUCCAGGAACAGAAAUCCACGUGACCUCAUGCCACAAAUGUUUUUGUAGGAGCCCAAGGAACCGCGCUGUCAUCGGCCCUUCGUGCUACAGGUUGCUUUGGAACCAGAGGAUGCUGUUUCCCAGAUCCAAAAGGGCAAAAUUUGAGGAUGUGCAAAAUUUCGAAAAGUGUAAAAAAACAA
Long non-coding RNA from Hippocampus comes (tiger tail seahorse), 308 nucleotides. RefSeq lists it as uncharacterized. NCBI's taxonomy places the organism in Eukaryota, Metazoa, Chordata, Actinopteri, Syngnathiformes, Syngnathidae. The record is from RefSeq and is a predicted model, not a curated record. The transcript is spliced from 2 exons.